Erinaceus europaeus (western European hedgehog) is the source of this 2391-nucleotide long non-coding RNA. RefSeq lists it as uncharacterized. Lineage: Eukaryota; Metazoa; Chordata; Mammalia; Eulipotyphla; Erinaceidae. The transcript has 3 exons. The record is from RefSeq and is a predicted model, not a curated record.
CUUAAUAAAUAAAAUUUUAAAAUGAAAAACUCUGGAGACCAGGCAGUAGCGCAGCGGGUUAAGCAUACAUGAAGUGAAGCACAAGGACCGUCAUAAAGAUCCUUGUUCGAGUCCCUGGCUCCCCUCCUGCAGGGGAGGUCGCUUCACAAGCAGUGAAUCAGGUCAGCAGGUGUCUUUCUUUGUCCUCAUCCCACCCCCAUCUUCCCCUCCUCUCUUGAUUUCUCUCUGUCCUAUCCAAUGGCAACAGAAGCAAAAACAUCAAUAAUAAUAACAAGGGCAGCAAAACUGGGAAAAAUGGCCUCCAGGAGCAGUGGAUUUGUAGUGCAGGCACUGAGCCCCUAACUGUGUAAACAAAAAAAAAAAAAAAUAGAGAGAAUGAAAGAGAGAAAGAAAGAAGUAAGAAAGGAAGGAAGGAAGGAAGGAAGGAAGAAAGAAAGAAAGAAAGAAAGAAAGCUGAGUAGUAGUGGUUGGGUGGGUUAAGAGCACACUGCGCAAGUGCAAGGACUGGUGUAAGAAUCCCGGUUCGAGGAGCCCCUGGCACGAGCGCCGGGCUCCCCACCUGCAGGGGAGUCGCUUCACAGGCGGUGAAGCAAGUCUGCAUGUGUCUUUCUCUCCCCCUUUCUGUCUUCCCCUCCUCUAUCCAUUUCUCUCUGUCCUAUCUAAUAAUGACAACAUCAAUUACAACAAUAAUAAUAACUACAACAAUAAUAAAAAAACAAGGGCAACAAAAGGGAAAAAUAAAUAUUUAAUAAAUUAAAUAAAUUUUUUAAAAAAGAAAGACUCUGUAAACUGUAAAGUACUACCAAGAGUUGAGAGGGUUUGGAAAGGCUUGGAAGACUGACUUGGAACUGCCUGGGUUCUCUGGGAUGGAGCUAGAGUCCCCAUCCUACUCCCCACACCCAUUGCAGAAACCAGCCCUGGCAUGGGUUUUGCAGAAAGGGGAAUAAACUACAUCUACAGGUUCCAAAAAGCAGGGUGGUUAUAAGCUUCAACCUGGGAAUUGGCUUGUGACUUUGGACCUUUCUGUGCCCCAAGGCUCUCUCAAUAUCUAGAAUGGAGAUCAUUCACAGAUGCAGCACUUCCUCCUCUGUCUGGCUUUAUCAGUGCCAUCAUGAUCCUGGUUAAUCCACACAAGCUUCCUACCAUACAGUUGAGGAAAUGGAGACCAUGAAGAUCUGAAAACAUCUCUAGUGAUAGCAGUAUAAACAUGUUCUUUAGAGCUUUGAGAACAAUGCCAGAGAAACUCUGAGAAGAAGUUGGCUCCAGAAAGAGGACAAGAGAAAUCGAGAGAAGAUGGAAAGACAAAGAUGGGGAGAGAAAGAUAGACACCUACAGACCUGCUUCACCACUUGUGAAGCAACCCCCUGUAAGUGGGGAGCCGGGGACUCAAACCCAAAUCCUUACACUGUUCUUUGCACUUUGUGCCAUGUGAGCUUAACUGGUUGUACUACCUUCUGUCCCCCCCCCCACUUUUAAAUCAUAACAGCAAAGCUUUAAAUCAAGUGUGGGGUUUGCAUGUUGCCACUACAGAUUCUACCCUGGUGUCAAGAGUAGUGCUUAAACUCAGUACUCACAGUAUGGUCAAAUUGUCCAGUCCUGGGGACCAGAGAGCAGUGCACUUGGUUGAGCACACACAUCACCAUGUGCAAGAACCCAGGUCUGAGAUCCCACUCUUUAACUGCAGGGUGGAAGCUUCAAGACUGAUGAAGAAGCAGGCCUAUAGGUCUUUAUCUUUCUUUAUUCCUCUCUAUCUUCUCCCUCCUCAAUUUCUCUUUCUAUCAAAUAAAAUAGAAAUAAAAGAAAGAACGAGAUAAAAAUGGCCCCCAAGAGUGGUAGAUUCAUAGUGCCAGCACCGAACCUAAGCAGUAACCCUGGUGGCAAUAAAUAAAUAAAUUAAAUAAACUGAACACAGAUGAAAAAUCCUUUUGAAUAUCCAAAUCCAAAUUUUAAAACUUUGGUGGGCUAGGGAAGUGGGAGGAGGUUCUGCAUCAGAGCACACUUCUUGCAUGUGUGAAACUCUGGCUUUGAUCCCCAGCACCAUAGAUGAGCAACAAAGACAAAAAGACACACAUUCUCUCUCUCUCUCUCUCUCUCUCUCUCUCUCACACACACACACACACACACACACACACACACUCACAAAAGUUAAUAAUUAAAAUAAAAAAAACUUAAGUGGAACUCCAUGGAUGGUGGAGCAGUACUCUGGUCUUUCUUUCACUCAUUAAAAAAUCAUUAAAAAAUAUAUCAUAAUCCUUUGGGUUUGUUUCUUCUUAUUCUGUAUUCAUCAUUUAUGGGGAACAGCUGGUUCUUCUAAGCAAGUAAUUCUUGUAGACUUGGACAUUGUCUGCAAUUCUUUCUCCCUUUCUUCAUAGGACAGUUUCCCAUGCUCUC